This 515-nucleotide ribosomal RNA is filed under the name uncultured bacterium. RNAcentral describes it as "bacterial SSU rRNA". It matches the Rfam family "Bacterial small subunit ribosomal RNA", at positions 28 to 517 of the family's 1533-position model. The record is from RNAcentral.
GACGAACGCUGGCGGCGUGGAUUAGGCAUGCAAGUCGGACGGUAGGGCUUUAUCGUAAGAUAGAGUUUGAGAGUGGCGAACGGGUGAGUAACACGUAGGAAUCUACCCUUAAGACGGGGACAACCCAGGGAAACUUGGGCUAAUACCGGAUGAGAGUGCGAGAGAUUGCAUUUAAAAGGAUGGCGAAAGUUGUCGCUUAGGGAUGAGCCUGCGGUCUAUUAGUUAGUUGGUGAGGUAAGAGCUCACCAAGGCGAUGAUAGAUAGGCGGCCUUAACGGGUGGUCGCCCACACUGGGAUUGAGAUACGGCCCAGACUCCUACGGGAGGCAGCAGUCGAGAAUAGUCUACAAUGGCCGGAAGGCUGAUAAGUGCGACGGCCGCGUGAACGAGGGACGCCCGUUCGGGGUGUAAAGUUCUUUUCUAAUACGAGCAGUGCUAUAUAGUAUGGAUAGUAUAUAUAGAGGGUAUAGUAAGUAUAAGGAAUAAGACAACGGCUAAACUCCGUGCCAGCAGCCG